UCUGAAAAAACACACACGUAUCAAUAGAAAUUGGUUAAUUAUUAAAAUAUAUAUUGUAGUUGUUGUUGUUGUUGUUGUUGUUGUUGUAGCAGUGUGUUGUACACCGAGACGGUACGUACCACCGGCUGCCAUGGGUUAUUGCAGUAAUCAUGAAUUGUUAUGUACGGGAAAUCAUAUCAUAUCACUAUUUUGGAUGCAUCCCCCUUUUUUUAUAUCGCUUGGAACAACAUUCAUUGGUAUUUAUUGUCGUUAUUUCAUUUCAUUUCAUUUAGUACAAAGCCAUCAGCUAUGUAAAUGUAAAUAGUAGAUAAAACUACUCAAUAAUGAACAGAUGCGACUUAAAACUAACUAAAAAAAUAAAUUAGAGACAUAAAAUAAACUAGAAAAAAAUGCAUUCAAAAAAAUGAGCAUUGCUAGGCAAUCACUACUCAAAAAACAAAACAAACCAUAUGACUUAAAAAAAUAAUAAUAAAAUUGCACCCGAAUUGCACAAUCAAGACGGAAAACAAUAUUGAAAAACCAUUCAAUAAAAAAUAAAGGGUGAUUUUUUAGCUAUUAUCUUUUUGGCAACACUGCUUUAAACCGCUCACACACGUUUCGUGUUUUGUUUCACUGUCCAGCAUCUUCAGUUUGGUCUAUAAUUUAAUCAUGAAUCAUCUUACAAACGAACAACGCUUGCACAUUAUUGAAUUUUAUUAUCACAAUGCGUGCUCUGUUAGGAAAGUUCAUCGGGCGCUUCUUCCAUUCCAACCAAGAAUCUCAUUUUUGGCUCAAUGGCUACGUAAAUAAGCAGAAUUGUCGAUUUUGGAGUGAAGAUCAGCCAGAAGCAUUGCAAGAGAUACCGAUACAUCCAGAAAGUCACAGUUUGGUGCGGUUUAGGGGUGGUGGCAUCAUUGGACCGUACUUCUUCAAAGAUGAUGCAACGUAACUGGCAAUGGGGAGCGCAACCGUGAGAUGAUAUCCAACUUUUUUUUGUCCAAAAUGCAAGAGCUUGACUUGCAUGACAUGUGGUUUCAACAAGACGGUGCCACAUGUCAUACAGCACGCGUAGCAAUGGACUUAUUGAGAGGUGAACAUUUUAUUUCACGUUCGGGACCAGUCAAUUGGUCGCCUACAACAGACAACAUUGAAGCAUUUAUGCCGACCUAAAUGUUGGAAAGAGUAUGUCAAAAUUGGACUAAGCGGACCAUUAUAUGAAUGCAUGAAAUAACAUUAAAUUCUAUGGACCGUACUAUCGAUUCAAGUAUCACCCUUUUAAAUAAAAAAAUAAAUUAGCUAAAGAAAACAUAAAAAAAUAACACUAUAAAAACUACACACUAUAAAAACUACAGUCGAACAUCUCUAUAACAAAUUGCCCUAUAACGAAUUAACAUUAAAAACACGACUCUUUUCAGCCAUUUUCACCUAUUUUAACCUCCCUAUAACGAAGUUUUCUAUAACGAAUACUUCUCUGUAACGAAUAGUUUUUAAAGCAAAAUUGCAAAUUUUGCCCAUAAUCAUUCCACUAAGGAACAGGGCCAAACUUCUCAUAUAUCAAUGAGUGCAGUCCGAUUCAAGCUUAAGCUCAAUGAUAAGGGGCCUCCAUUUUAUAGCCGAGUCCGAACGGCGUGCCGCAGUGCGACACCUCUUUGGAGAGAAGUUUUACAUGGCAUAUUACCUCACAAAUGUUGCCAGCAUUAGGAAGGGAAAGCAACCCUGAAAAUUUUUUCUGAUGGUUUCGGCAGGAUUCGAACCUAGGCGUUUAGCGUCAUAGGCGGACUUGCUAACCUUUGCGCUACGGUGGCAAGAUGAAAUUCUCGCACAAACUUAACUCUCUAUAUCAAUUUUUUGCAAACUUUUGGUCAGUUUCUCUAUAACGUAGUAUUUCGUCGGUCCCUUACUGCUACGUUAUAGAGAAAUUGACUAACCUUUGGUUUAAUUUGACCUAAGUGCAAAAAUAAGCAAACGCACAGUGGGAAUUCGAAAAAAAAAGUAAAAAAUCUGCCAAUUGAGAACGGGUGGAGAAAACUCUUUAAAAUUUUGAAUGGUUAUAGCUGAGGUGUUAGCGAGAUUAUGCACAGAAUUUGAAGGCCCUAGCUGGUGCGGGCACCUCUUGGCAAGUGCCUUAAUCAAAUCUUCAUGUGUGAUCCGAUUUUCAAAUGUUAAAUUUUCUAAAAAUUUUUAAUUUUUCUAAUAAAACUGUUACUUAAAAACAAAAAAUAAAAGCUACAUGAAUACCCAAAUACCCAUUUUGGGCAAAGAUGGUUUCAAAAUCGUCAUUCUUUAGUAAAUUAACUGUGGAGGAGGCUACAAAUAUUGUUUGGUGCAAAAAAUUGUUAGGAAUCCUGUCUCGGGCACAAAUCAAAAAAAAAAAUAAAAGUUUUUCUUAAGGAUUUUUGAGCACUUUUCAGCAAAAAUUUUGGAAAUCGGACCACAAAUAAAUAUUUUACAGCCCGAAAAUUUUUUCCAAAUGCUAAGGUGACCAAAUUUAGUGGCCUGCUGAGAGGCGCCCUGGCGAAUGACGGCCUUGAAUUUUUGUACAUAAUCCCGUUAACUUUCUACCCGUUCUCAAACGGCUUAUUUGUUGUACUAAUUUGUCUAUUCUUACCUACUGUGAAGCAUCUCAGGCUUGCGUUCUGUAAAUUGCGGAUAUUUGAGAGUGUUCUAACCGAUAUUCUUUCUUUUUUUAGAGCCUUCAUCAACAUUGGCUAUAAUAUGACAAAUUUCUUCAAUAGAUACACCUUUACGUUUUGCCUUUUUUUGUCUGUCGUCCGAUCACUACACAACGAGAGAGAGCAAAUUUUGACAGUUAGAAAAAUUGCAAAUUUCUACUGGGACUUUUUUCGGUAGCAGAAAUUUGCAACUUUGAACAGAUGUUUUGUAAAAGUCAGCUGUUUUAUGAGAAGCACCCGUUACAUGAAAAUACAAAAGCUAACGGCAAAAUGGAUCAAAAAGGCAGAGAUUCAUGGCAGCAGCUUGUGUUCAGUUACAGAAAAUUCGACAAAUGAAGUUGUAAUUUUACCUCAAGUCGGUUGUUCUACAAUACAUUAGAAGAAAAGAGCAAUUAUCGGUUUUUAAGUGUUUUGAUGGAACCAUCCUUAUCGGAGAGCUACGAUGAAACCGCCACCGCUCCUUUGAAUUUGUUAAGGACGGAAGUUGCUGCCAUGGGAUUGAGUGGGUCUAGCUGGGCAGUUAAACAAGUGACGCACAGUGGGAUUAGAAAAAAUUAGUGCAAUUAGUGCAUUUAUCUAGUCACAAAAUCCAAAAGCAUUAGAUGGUUGUAGAUGGUCAGCACAACAAGUGUACUUUUGUAUACGGUGAUGGCAUGUAAAACUUCGAAACGAGAGGAGGGGGAGUAGUAGUCCCUCAUGCGUCUUGGCUACUGAUGAGAAAAGGGAGAUCGUUCUGUACGACUCCUCUUUGCUCUUGUCCUCUUCAGGUUUCAGUAGCGGGAUCAGACUACCCAUCUUCCAAACAUUGGGUACUAUAAUAGUGUUCAGAUAGGCUGACGAGAGUGGUAAAGUAAUCGACUCAAGGCAGAACCAGAUUCUUCAGCACCAGUGUAGAAAUUAUGUCUGGAACCAGCGCUUUGCUCGAUUUGGUGCCACGGAUAAUGCACGGUUGCUGUUGUUGUAGCAGUGUGUUGUAUACUGAAAGACUCCAUCGGGCGAAUGCAGCACGUACAACCGGCUACCAUGGGAUUGCACGGUAAUUUGCGAUGGCUGUCUAGCGGCACGGAGAUCACGGAUAUACAAAUGGCUCCCCUUCUAGCCUUUCACUCUCGAGUCAAUAAAUUGACGUUUAUUUAAGGAAAAUACCUCGCAAGUAUCGCCAGCAUUUUUUAUUUAAAAAAUUGUUUUCCAAGCAAGCAAAUAAAAAACAAA
This is a long non-coding RNA of Stomoxys calcitrans (stable fly), 3863 nucleotides long. RefSeq lists it as uncharacterized. The transcript has 3 exons. Lineage: Eukaryota; Metazoa; Arthropoda; Insecta; Diptera; Muscidae. The record is from RefSeq and is a predicted model, not a curated record.